AUUGAACGCUGGCUGCAGGCCUAACACAUGCAAGUCGAGCGGUAGCACAGAGAGCUUGCUCUCGGGUGACGAGCGGCGGACGGGUGAGUAAUGUCUGGGAAACUGCCUGAUGGAGGGGGAUAACUACUGGAAACGGUAGCUAAUACCGCAUAACGUCGCAAGACCAAAGUGGGGGACCUUCGGGCCUCAUGCCAUCAGAUGUGCCCAGAUGGGAUUAGCUAGUAGGUGGGGUAAUGGCUCACCUAGGCGACGAUCCCUAGCUGGUCUGAGAGGAUGACCAGCCACACUGGAACUGAGACACGGUCCAGACUCCUACGGGAGGCAGCAGUGGGGAAUAUUGCACAAUGGGCGCAAGCCUGAUGCAGCCAUGCCGCGUGUGUGAAGAAGGCCUUCGGGUUGUAAAGCACUUUCAGCGGGGAGGAAGGCGGUGAGGUUAAUAACCUCAUCGAUUGACGUUACCCGCAGAAGAAGCACCGGCUAACUCCGUGCCAGCAGCCGCGGUAAUACGGAGGGUGCAAGCGUUAAUCGGAAUUACUGGGCGUAAAGCGCACGCAGGCGGUCUGUCAAGUCGGAUGUGAAAUCCCCGGGCUCAACCUGGGAACUGCAUUCGAAACUGGCAGGCUAGAGUCUUGUAGAGGGGGGUAGAAUUCCAGGUGUAGCGGUGAAAUGCGUAGAGAUCUGGAGGAAUACCGGUGGCGAAGGCGGCCCCCUGGACAAAGACUGACGCUCAGGUGCGAAAGCGUGGGGAGCAAACAGGAUUAGAUACCCUGGUAGUCCACGCCGUAAACGAUGUCGAUUUGGAGGUUGUGCCCUUGAGGCGUGGCUUCCGGAGCUAACGCGUUAAAUCGACCGCCUGGGGAGUACGGCCGCAAGGUUAAAACUCAAAUGAAUUGACGGGGGCCCGCACAAGCGGUGGAGCAUGUGGUUUAAUUCGAUGCAACGCGAAGAACCUUACCUGGUCUUGACAUCCACAGAACUUUCCAGAGAUGGAUUGGUGCCUUCGGGAACUGUGAGACAGGUGCUGCAUGGCUGUCGUCGGCUCGUGUUGUGAAAUGUUGGGUUAAGUCCCGCGACGAGCGCAACCCUUAUCCUUUGUUGCCAGCGGUCCGGCCGGGAACUCAAAGGAGACUGCCAGUGAUAAACUGGAGGAAGGUGGGGAUGACGUCAAGUCAUCAUGGCCCUUACGACCAGGGCUACACACGUGCUACAAUGGCAUAUACAAAGAGAAGCGACCUCGCGAGAGCAAGCGGACCUCAUAAAGUAUGUCGUAGUCCGGAUUGGAGUCUGCAACUCGACUCCAUGAAGUCGGAAUCGCUAGUAAUCGUAGAUCAGAAUGCUACGGUGAAUACGUUCCCGGGCCU
RNAcentral lists this ribosomal RNA (1361 nucleotides) under uncultured bacterium. RNAcentral describes it as "bacterial SSU rRNA". It matches the Rfam family "Bacterial small subunit ribosomal RNA", at positions 28 to 1381 of the family's 1533-position model. The record is from RNAcentral.